RNAcentral lists this ribosomal RNA (492 nucleotides) under uncultured bacterium. RNAcentral describes it as "partial 16S ribosomal RNA". It matches the Rfam family "Bacterial small subunit ribosomal RNA", at positions 29 to 507 of the family's 1533-position model. The record is from RNAcentral.
AGUGAACGCUGGCGGUAGGCCUAACACAUGCAAGUCGAACGGCAGCACAGUAAGAGCUAGCUCUUACGGGUGGCGAGUGGCGGACGGGUGAGGAAUACAUCGGAAUCUACUUUUUCGUGGGGGAUAACGUAGGGAAACUUACGCUAAUACCGCAUACGACCUACGGGUGAAAGCAGUGGAUCUUCGCACCUUGCGCGAUUGAAUGAGCCGAUGUCGGAUUAGCUAGUUGGCGGGGUAAAGGCCCACCAAGGCGACGAUCCGUAGCUGGUCUGAGAGGAUGAUCAGCCACACUGGAACUGAGACACGGUCCAGACUCCUACGGGAGGCAGCAGUGGGGAAUAUUGGACAAUGGGCGCAAGCCUGAUCCAGCCAUACCGCGUGGGUGAAGAAGGCCUUCGGGUUGUAAAGCCCUUUUGUUGGGAAAGAAAAGCAGCAGGUUAAUACCCCGCUGUUCUGACGGUACCCAAAGAAUAAGCACCGGCUAACUUCGUG